This is a long non-coding RNA of Oryzias sinensis (Chinese medaka), 7361 nucleotides long. NCBI's taxonomy places the organism in Eukaryota, Metazoa, Chordata, Actinopteri, Beloniformes, Adrianichthyidae. The record is from Ensembl.
AUAUGGCCGAGUGCCCAAACAAGUCCAGCCCUUGAUGUACGCCGCCAAAGACGAUUUGCACUCGCCUGCAUCCUCUGACACGUCCAAAGUUCCCGCCAAGAGGGCAAAGUCGGUCGAACCUCCACCAGUGCAGAAGUCCAAAAAGCCCAAACUGGUCACCCUGAGGUCGUCCAGGUCAGAGUUUAGUGACGAGGAGAACGAAAACGAGUGGGAGGAGGAGGAGCACCACCUCACCCGGAGCUCCAGUCGAGACGGCGACACUCACGGCUUUGUUCAGAGCAGCCUGCACGCCUCCAACACGGAGAUUUCAGAGGUGGAUGACACCAUGGUGGAGCUUGAUAUCUUGGACAGUAUGCCCGAUGUGCUGGGCCUUUCCCAAGAUGCCCUGUGUCCUGACUCAACCUGUCAGCAGGCAGAUCAUGACACAGGCACUUCUGAGCCCAGUGAGCACCAGCUGGACCUGCUUGUUGAUGUUAUAGACUUCAUUUCCUCGGAACAAACUGAAGGUAUGCGACUUGUCCGUUUUGUUUGUUUUUGUCUUAGGUGCGUCUGGUACCUGAUGCCGUAAAUUAAAUUGGACUUUUCAUGUUUCUUUCAGUGUCUCAGGAUGAGAGCUACACUGAAGCAGCUCAAACCCUUUUGACCAUUGGUAACCGAGCUCAAAUUUCUCCGUCUGCACAGAGUGGAGAUACCUUAGAAGAAUGCACUGCAGGUAUGCAACCAAAGAAACAAAACAAAAAAAGCAGCCCCGGUUCCUCUGUUGGUGUAGGCUGUCUCCUGGCUUGGAAAGUUACAUUCCAUUGUAUUUGAUUGCAGGAACAUCAGUUGGUGUCAGUGAGUUCACAUAUGCACAAGAGGAGAUUUUGACAGUUUCACCCCAGAAAAGGGUCCCUUCUGGGAAAUCUGCAGAUCAGAAAGUGACAUCGCCUCCCACCGAAAAGCACCAGAGUGCUGAAGUGGAAAGCAAUAACUCGCUUCCCGUUGAGACAAGUGAUCAGAACGUUGAUCAAUUGGGUUUUAAAUCUAUAGAGAAGUCUUCACUUAUAAAGGCUGGUCCGUGUUCUAAGGUGAAGCCUAAACCAAACCUCGGUCACAGCUCAAGGACUGCAAAACCGGUAUCUCACACUGAGAUGUCGACAGAAGGGGGAGCUGGAAUAAGCUGCUCAGUUGCUCAAUGUGUUUCUCAAGAUGAUGAGACUUCACUAUCUGCUGAAGAAACAUCCCCUGGAAUAUCAGCUUCUGCUGCAGCAUUGUUUAAAGAUAACACUUCCUCUCAGCGCGCCUGCUUGGAUCAGGUUGAAACAGGUGCAGCAGAUCAGAAUCUCCUGAAAAGCCAGAGUCAGACUGUAAUUCAGUCCCAGUUGGGGCCUCCUGUAAAGUCCAAGGCUGGCUUAAAUAAACCAGUUGAAGCAGUGCCAGAGGUUAAAAAAGCGUCAAGCAACGAUCACAGCCCAGUUCCAGACAGAACCAGCAAACCUCAACCCUCGGUUGCAGACAACUCUUCUGUGAGUCACACAGGAGAAGGUGAUGUAAAAAGUCCUUCUCAGCCCAGAGGCAGACUGCCAAAAGUCAAACCCAAACCAAUCUUACUGCAGACGUCAAGAAUAGCUAGAUCCAAACGGCAAACCACUGAAGGGGUGGCAGAGAAAGAGUCAAUUGAAAGUCAGAAUACUUCAACUAAAAUGCCAGCAGAACUUCCAGAUGAACGGACUACAAGUGAGGAGACAACAAGUCCUAAAUGUCUAAAUCAAGCAGCACCUGUUCAGAGCGCUACAGAAACUCUGAUCUCUGCCAAAGUCGUGCCUGAGCUCUGUGUGGAGCAGACCAGCAAAGACUCUGAAGCCACUUCUGAAACUGUGUCAACUGAACAAACAGACCCAGAACUACCAGCUCCACAUGGGUCACAUUUGGGUUCAGAAAGAAAAGAAGAUUCUGCUGCAGUUGCUGAAGCAACCUCCAAUCAAGAUGAGAAAAAAACGGGAUCUUCUCAGUCAAGAAAGGGUCGACUACAAAAGGUUAAACCCAAACCAAACAUACCACAGUUGUUGAGAGGUGCAAGAUCCAAAGCUCAGAACACAGAAGAUGCCAUCCAAAAAAAUCUGGAGCUUCACAAAAACCCAUCCGUAGAGGCGGAAACACAAACAAAACUCACCCAAAAACUGUCUGCAAAUAAGGAGAUGAAGACAAAAGAUGGAGUUGAAGAUCAAGAAGAAUUGGGUGGAGCACCAUCAGGUCAAAGUCCUACAAAAGCCAAGAAUCUCUCCAUCGAGUCCAGUUUGGAGCAGGCAACUGGAGAUGCACUAUCAAUUCCUGAUUUAACCAAAGAAAGUGCAGCAUCCCAUGUUGAAGAUCCAGUUUUAAAGGCCUGUGAGGUCACAGAACCAGAACAAGGACUACAUUUGGAUUUUAUUGAAAGUGCAAAUUCAGCUUCUUUAAAUAAGUCUGUAGAAGAGUUGGCAGUCAUGCAAAAAGAGGAAAAAUCGUUGCCAACAGGUCAGACAAAGAGAGAUCGACUGUCAAAAAUCAAACCAAACCUUCAAACAUCAAGAGCUGCAAGAUCUACAUCUCAAACCACUGAAGAAGUUACGCAAAAAGACUUGUUUCCAGGUGAAGGACCUGAUUUCACGAAGGUGGAACCAGAACAGGAACUGUCUGUAAAUAAAGACACAUGGAGAGAGGCUGGGUUUGUAGACCCCAAAGUAUUGACAGACAAGAGCACCAAAGAAAGCCCAAAUCCCUGUGAAGAUCAGCCUGAGCCAUGUAAGGAGCAAACCAUAAGAGAUAGAGGAGCAACGUCUGAUUCAGCUCCAGAAAAUCUGUCAUACUGUUUUGGGCUACAGUCAAAUGUGGAGCCAGGAAAAAGUGGAAAGCCUUCAGCAGCAGCACAGGAACCAAGUGCAUCUGAUGAAAGGAAGACGGGUCAAAUCAAAAAACGUAAACCCAAACCAAACCUGGUACAGACAUCAAGAGCUCUGAGGUCCAAAUCCUCAAAAGAUUCACAGGAUAAGAACUCAAGUUCCAUAAUAGAACCCAAAGUCCAUGAAGAUGCCAUGUCAUUGGUGGAAGCAAACCUGUCUUUGGACAGUCAAUCUGAAACCGUUCCUACUUCAACAGUACAGCCUGUUAUGACUUUAGACUCAACUUCCACUCCAACAACAUACUCUUCUUCAAAUGACGAUCAAAGGGAAUUAACUAGACUGGAUUCGAUUGAUAUGAUUGCAGAAAUAUCAGAUCAGAGCACCACAGAGAACCAGAACUUCCCUGAAGUCCAGAUUGGUAACACCAGAGUUGAAGAAUCUCUGACGGAGUUCUCUGAUAAAAACCUAAAAUCUCAUGUUGAACCAACUGAUUCAAGAGUUCCAGAGGCACCAAAGCUGGGUUUGGAUCCAACUUCAUCUGUUGCAGGGCCUCCAGCCGUCAAACAAGGUUCUGAAGUUGCAUCUUCUUGUUUAUCAGUGAGGAACAGAUUAUCAAAAAUUAAACCCAAACCCAACUUGACAAAAACCUCAAGAGCUGCAAGAUUGAGACCUCAGAUCUCAAAAGAAUCAGCACAAAGUUCUGAAUCCUGCAAAAAGUUUGAACCAGAAAACAGCAACAUCUCCAAUUCUGUUUCAGGUUCAGAACAAUCCAAGAAUGCAUUCCCUGCAGAAGAGAAACAUCCUAGACGUGUAGAUCAGGCGGACACGGAUGCAGCCACAACAGGUUGCAGUGCUCCAAAGAAACAGAACAUCUGUCAAGUCCUGGUUGAAGAACAAACAUCUGCAGACCAGGCAUCGGCCUCUGAGAUGAGAGAGGAAGCAUCUCCGGUUGGGAAGUCACCAGAUGUUCGGCAUUUAUCUGCACAGGCGUGUUCAGAAGAAGCUGAAUCAAACGCUAAGUUUAGGAGAUUACAGAAAAUUCGCCCCAAACCGAAUUUACCAAAUAAAUCAAGAACGGCAAGAAUUGGAACACCAACCAUAAAUGACCCAAAGGAAAAAGAUUUGAGUGAAACUCAAUUUGAACAAGACUUGAUUGAACAAACAUCUGCAGGAAACCAGAACAUCACUGAAGUUCCCAAUGAAGAUCAGACCACUGGAAAAAUUGAGGAAACAUCCUCUUUUGUUGAGGUGAGAAAUUUAGCAUGUGAAGAAGCAGAAAAGGGAGAAGUGUCCUUUGUGGGGCAGGAGCUCCAUCUUGCUGCAUCAGGAACCAAGCAACAUGUUGGUGAAGAGGAUGAAGCUGCAUCUACGUCUCAAUCCAAGAGGAGGCGUUUUCAGAAACCUGAACCAAACCUCCCUGUGACAUCAAAAGGCGCUAAAUCUAAACCCGAAUUCCCUAAAGAGCCAGUCCAACUCACGCUCGCUAUGAAGCAACCACAGAUCUCCACCUCCAAAUCUAUGGAGCAACCUCAGAUCUCUAUUUCUAAAUCUGUGGAGCAACCUCAGAUCUCCACCUCCAAAUCUAUGGAUCAACCUCAGAUCUCCAUCUCCAAAUCUUCUGACCGCUCAACAUCAAAAGAAGAUGGUCAGUUUGUGUUGACUUCUCAUAAAAUCAAAAGUUCAGUUGCGGAACCGUUCGUCGAAUUGAGCCCAUCUCAUAAAUUUGUAGAGGAAUCAACCUCCGAGUGCAAAACAAAUGUUGAACAAGUCUCCAAUUCAGAGCAAAAUCUUCUUCAGAGAAGACCAAGGCUUUCCAGAGUCAGACCCAAACCUAAUCUAGAAGUAUCCAGUCGAGCUUUGCGGCGAAAAGUUCAGCCAGGUGACGGUUCCAAACCUUCAGGUGAAACUUCCACACCUCCAAGUGGCCUUAAGACGUCAGUGGAGAUGGAACCAGGUGGAGAAAAAAUGGACAGUGAAGGUCCAGCUGAGAGGGACUUGAUGGAUCCGUCUGCAGCUGUGGAUGCUCAGGUCUCAACACAAGUCGGUUCUACAUCAACCUCCAAAGCCAGCUCGGUCAGUGCAGAGGGACACUCCUCAACCCAAAGUAUUGAUUCUGCUGAAUCAGAAGCAGCUGACUCUUCUGAGACGUCAAAUAAAGCUCCUCAACCUCCCAACAUCACGUGCAGCAGUCUUGCACAGCGCAGACAGACGGAUGCAGAUUCUGACACUAGCUCGAGGACAGCUUCGUUGGAGCCUCGCCCUGGCAGUCGAUGGCCAGUAGGUGGAGACAUUGAUGAGACGAGAGACAAAUCGUCCUGUCUAGAUCCUGCUUCUCAAGAAGUGUCAUCUACGCAAAAUACGUCGGCUUUAAAUCCGGAGGGGAUCCACACUUAUCCGCUUCUGAUGGAGAUGCUGCCCGAGCAGGUGCCUUCAGAUCCGGAUGAACCGUUCUUCGUCCUUUCUCUGAUGGAGAUCCCGGGGGAGGCGGUAACCAGCGCGGCCGAGAAGCCGCCUCAUCACCCCGUCGCAGAUGCUGUCACGCUGCGGCCGUGGGAUUCUGGAGAGAGUUCCACAGCAGCAGCAGGAGAGAAGUCCGUCUCUGGCGUCUCCACAAAAAGUGCAGAAACAAGUUCUGCAUCUGAAGGUGAAGCUGCAAAUCAAAUUAAACUUUAUUUAUAACACUUUGCAUACUCAUGUAGCUCAAAGUGCUACAUAUAUAUCUAUAUAUAUAUAGAUAUAUAUAUGACUUUCACACAUAAAAAAUUAUAAAACACAUACAAUACCCACAAAAGCCUGACCUUUUUUUUUUUAGAAAUACCUUUGUAAUCAUUGUUUGCAUGAGGACUAAACACAAGAUAAGCUGUCGGCUUAAACGUUUGUUAGAAGAGUUAUUGAGUCAGUAAGUCUGAACCGAUGAAUAUCUUGCCAAUUUUACCAAACUGGUUUUGCGAGCCUCCUGCUGAAACUAGAGCUGCGCUUUACGGCAGUAAAAGGUCUUGAUCCAUUCAUGACCUGCACACUUCUAGUAGGGCAUUUAUUUUAAAGAAUAAGCUUGAAAUAUACAGCGUCGAUCAAAGUAAUAUAAAGUAAAUAUCGGAUUCCGGGUCGAGUCUGAAACUACGUGAUCAGGCCAGAUUUACUGUGGCUGCAGAGUGAUCCUCCUAUCAAAUUUUUAUUUUUUUCUCUGUUUUUUAAAUAUUUUUAUGCCUCAUUGUUAAAUCUUACGGUUUUUAACGUUUUUAAUCCAGAAAAACCUGCAGAAAAUCUAGAAACCUGUGUUGCCAGAGAGACGGACGCAGCAGCUGAGAAUAAAGGUAUUCACAACAUUUCUCUUUCAAAUGCUUAUAAAAAUAAACAUUUAUUUUUCUGUAUUUAAUUUUUAUUGCCUCUUUUAACAGUUAUUUCAACAAGGAGAAGAAGAACUAAAGCUGAAGCUACCGUCAGCCAGAGAAGUGAGGCUGAAGCUGCUUCUGACCCACGAAGUUGUAAAAAAGGAAAAAGCUUGAAGAAAUCUGACAGCAGUUUGGGCUCCAAAAAAAGUAACACAAGCAGUCGUCAGACUAGGUAAGGUAUUUUUUUAUAUAUUAACAAUUUGUCAAUGAUAUUACCCUUUAAGAUCUAGUUUUUCUGUCCCUUACAGAAAAGCAAAAGACGUUUCCCAUGAAGUCAAAACGUCGCCCAGCGAUUCCCCUGCUGCGAAGGCGAAGACGUCUGCUAAGAAAGCAGCUUCUGCGUCACAUGAAGAUGCUGCACCAGCCAAAGUCCGUUCAGCUCCUGUGGGGUCGCAGUCCAGACCCACCGCCGACCAGACACCCGGCACCUCAACUCCCAGCUCCACCCUCCGCACCGCCCGGGUAAGACGGCAACUAGCGGCUGAAAACAUGUCAUUUCUUUUCUCUCAUUUGGGUUUGUGUUGAUCUUUGCAGGAAAGCUGUGCUGAGAUCAGCUCAGCAGAGGAGGAGCCCACCAGCGUGUCGCAGUACUUCAUUAGUGACAUUUUCACAGAAGUGGAUGAGUCAUGAACACCGGAUUCUCAUUUAAAGAAGCUCCUGUUUUUUAGUCUUAGUUGUGAUGUUUUUAUAGUCCAAUACACCCCCCCCCCAAACCCCAAUGGCACUUUGAAUUGGUUUUGGAGUUGAAAUCAGUGCUUUUUGAAAAUGCACUUAGAUGAUAAAUGCUAAAGUCUGAAAGCUAAAGCGGCAGCAGCUGAAUGUUUCAGUUCAGCCUCAAAUUUUACUCAACAACUGUGAAAAUGUAAAUAUGUUGUGUGUUUCAUUUUGUACUUGAUGCCACUUUCUAAAUUGUGUACAGCUUUAUACAACCCUCUUGUGUACAUAAUUUUAUUUAGUUAAGCAAACUCCAUCAAAGGUGAAUUUAUGGAUGUUUCCAUGAAUGGUUGACGAGUAACAGUGGUUUACAAUAAAUCAAGAUAAACACUUGAUUGGGUUUUUUAUUUGACUUUUUUAUGUGUUUCUUUAUAUUUAAUUUAUAACUGUAGAGACU